UACGCCCGAUCUCGUCCGAUCUCGGAAGCCAAGCAGGGUCGGGCCUGGUUAGUACUUGGAUGGGAGACCGCCUGGGAAUACCAUGUGCUGUAAGCUU
Molecule: ribosomal RNA, 97 nt
Filed under: Chelon auratus (golden grey mullet)
Lineage: Eukaryota; Metazoa; Chordata; Actinopteri; Mugiliformes; Mugilidae
Source: RNAcentral